GAUGAACGCUGGCGGCGUGCCUAAUACAUGCAAGUCGAGCGAACGGACGAGAAGCUUGCUUCUCUGAUGUUAGCGGCGGACGGGUGAGUAACACGUGGAUAACCUACCUAUAAGACUGGGAUAACUUCGGGAAACCGGAGCUAAUACCGGAUAAUAUUUUGAGCCGCAUGGUUCAAAAGUGAAAGACGGUCUUGCUGUCACUUAUAGAUGGAUCCGCGCUGCAUUAGCUAGUUGGUAAGGUAACGGCUUACCAAGGCAACGAUGCAUAGCCGACCUGAGAGGGUGAUCGGCCACACUGGAACUGAGACACGGUCCAGACUCCUACGGGAGGCAGCAGUAGGGAAUCUUCCGCAAUGGGCGAAAGCCUGACGGAGCAACGCCGCGUGAGUGAUGAAGGUCUUCGGAUCGUAAAACUCUGUUAUUAGGGAAGAACGUAUGUGUAAGUAACUGUGCACAUCUUGACGGUACCUAAUCAGAAAGCCACGGCUAACUACGUG
RNAcentral lists this ribosomal RNA (497 nucleotides) under uncultured bacterium. Its description in RNAcentral is "partial 16S ribosomal RNA". It matches the Rfam family "Bacterial small subunit ribosomal RNA", at positions 28 to 507 of the family's 1533-position model. The record is from RNAcentral.